GACGUAGGGGGCCAGCGUUGCUCGGAAUUACUGGGUGUAAAGGGUUCGUAGGCGGUGUGGCAAGUCGGGAGUGAAAUCUCUGGGCUCAACCCAGAGUCUGCUUCCGAAACUGCUGUGCUUGAGUGUGGGAGAGGCGCGUGGAAUUGCAGGUGUAGCGGUGAAAUGCGUAGAUAUCUGCAGGAACACCCGUGGCGAAAGCGGCGCGCUGGACCACUACUGACGCUGAGGCUCGAAAGCUAGGGGAGCAAACAGG
Molecule: ribosomal RNA, 253 nt
Filed under: uncultured bacterium
Lineage: Bacteria
Description: partial 16S ribosomal RNA
Rfam family: Bacterial small subunit ribosomal RNA
Source: RNAcentral